This 844-nucleotide long non-coding RNA is filed under the name Manacus vitellinus (golden-collared manakin). RNAcentral describes it as "lncRNA (ENSMVIG00005019080.1)". The record is from RNAcentral. Lineage: Eukaryota; Metazoa; Chordata; Aves; Passeriformes; Pipridae.
CUCAGGAAGAAGAGGGAUUACCUCAUUUCCACCUCCUAUGAAAUAAAUCCUCAUUAUGGAUUUGCACCUGGGGAGGAAGAAGCUGAUUUGCACUCCCAGCCGGUUCUGAGCAGAUAUUUGAAGAGGUCCAGAAAUGGAAAACCAGUCGAAAAGCACUGCAGCUGUGUCCCAGAGCCUGCACCACGGUGAUGGCACUGGGGAUGUGGCCUCGGGCUCUUCAAAGCCUCUGCAGCUGCCUCUGGACCUGAACUGCUGUGACUUCAUGUUGUCCAAGUAAUUACAUACAAGACCAUGGAGAGAGAUCAAAUCCUGCCAUCUCCCUUGGAUCCUGGAAACAGCCUCUUAAGGCACCCUCGAGCCUCGUUAAAGGAAACAAAUCAAAGUGCUGCACCAGAGGAUUGCAGGGCUGGCUCCUGGGAUCACUCACACCCAGGAGGGACUGGAUCUCUGCAAAGUGCCAGGUGGCAUCCACGGGGAGGAGGCAGAUGUUGCUGGAUGACAGGAUGGAGAUCCAGCCUCUGGACUUGGUUCCUUGCCUCGCUGCCUGCAGAGGUCAGCAGUGCUGGAGUCCCUGUGGGAUGUGGACAGCCCUACUCCUUCCCAGGCCAGGAAAAGAAGAGAAACACUUCAUGAUCCUUAAACUUGUUAAAUUUAAAACUUGAAAAGGCACCUUCAUGCUUUCAAUCAAUCAUUUUUACUGCUUCUAAUGCAACUGGUCUCAGCUUUCCUAGAAGACCCAGAGGGAAACCAGGAAAGAUCAGAUGUGACAUUCUGGACUUGGCGUGUGAAAAGCAACUGGGGAAAAAAUAGAAUAAAGUGAAGUACAGAGAGACUUGUGGCUGCA